Molecule: regulatory RNA element, 76 nt
Organism: Clostridium sp. CAG:7
Lineage: Bacteria; Bacillati; Bacillota; Clostridia; Eubacteriales; Clostridiaceae
Rfam family: c-di-GMP-I riboswitch aptamer
About the family: GEMM was predicted in a large-scale screen for bacterial structured RNA regulatory elements.
Source: Rfam
AUAUAUUUUAGGCAAAGCAGUCGAAAGACUGUGACGCAAAGCUAUAGGGCCUUUCAAAUGGCAGCCAGUUGCUAUU